Molecule: ribosomal RNA, 251 nt
Filed under: uncultured bacterium
Lineage: Bacteria
Description: partial 16S ribosomal RNA
Rfam family: Bacterial small subunit ribosomal RNA
Source: RNAcentral
UACGUAGGGGCAAGCGUUAUCCGGAAUCAUUGGGCGUAAGCGCGUGUAGGCGGUUCCGUAAGUCCGCUCUGAAAGCCCCAGGGCUCAACCCUGGGAGGCGGGUGGAUACUACGGAACUGGAGUACGGAAGAGGAGAUUGGAAUUCCUGGUGUAGCGGUGAAAUGCGCAGAUAUCAGGAGGAACACCAACAGCGAAGGCAGAUCUCUGGGACGUUACUGACGCUGAGACGCGAAAGCGUGGGAGCAAACAGG